UACGGUGGGGGCAAGCGUUGUUCGGAAUUACUGGGCGUAAAGGGCUCGUAGGCGGCCAACUAAGUCGGAUGUGAAAUCCCCAGGCUUAACCUGGGAACUGCAUCCGAUACUGGAUGGCUUGAAUCCGGGAGAGGGAUGCAGAAUUCCAGGUGUAGCGGUGAAAUGCGUAGAUAUCUGGAGGAAUACCGGUGGCGAAGGCGGCAUCCUGGACCGGCAUUGACGCUGAGUGAGCGAAAGCCAGGGGAGCAAACGGG
RNAcentral lists this ribosomal RNA (254 nucleotides) under uncultured bacterium. RNAcentral's name for it is "partial 16S ribosomal RNA". It matches the Rfam family "Bacterial small subunit ribosomal RNA", at positions 524 to 776 of the family's 1533-position model. The record is from RNAcentral.